This 486-nucleotide ribosomal RNA is filed under the name uncultured bacterium. RNAcentral's name for it is "partial 16S ribosomal RNA". It matches the Rfam family "Bacterial small subunit ribosomal RNA", at positions 30 to 507 of the family's 1533-position model. The record is from RNAcentral.
AUUGAACGCUGGCGGCAUGCCUUACACAUGCAAGUCGAACGGCAGCACGGGUGCUUGCACCUGGUGGCGAGUGGCGAACGGGUGAGUAAUACAUCGGAACAUGUCCUGAAGUGGGGGAUAGCCCGGCGAAAGCCGGAUUAAUACCGCAAACGAUCUACGGAUGAAAGCGGGGGACCUUCGGGCCUCGCGCUAUAGGGUUGGCCGAUGGCUGAUUAGCUAGUUGGUGGGGUAAAGGCCUACCAAGGCGACGAUCAGUAGCUGGUCUGAGAGGACGACCAGCCACACUGGGACUGAGACACGGCCCAGACUCCUACGGGAGGCAGCAGUGGGGAAUAUUGGACAAUGGGCGAAAGCCUGAUCCAGCAAUGCCGCGUGUGUGAAGAAGGCCUUCGGGUUGUAAAGCACUUUUGUCCGGAAAGAAAUCCUUGGCCCUAAUACGGUCGGGUUAUGACGGUACCGGAAGAAUAAGCACCGGCUAACUACGUG